RNAcentral lists this unclassified non-coding RNA (336 nucleotides) under soil metagenome. RNAcentral's name for it is "partial contains 5.8S ribosomal RNA, internal transcribed spacer 2, and large subunit ribosomal RNA". The stretch from base 1 to 120 matches the Rfam family "5.8S ribosomal RNA", at positions 35 to 154 of the family's 154-position model. The record is from RNAcentral.
GAUGAAGAACGUAGCGAAAUGCGAUAAGUAAUGUGAAUUGCAGAAUUCAGUGAAUCAUCGGAUCUUUGAACGCACAUUGCGCCCGCCAGUAUUCUGGCGGGCAUGCCUGUUCGAGCGUCAUUUCAACCAUCAAGCCCCCGGCUUGUGUUGGGGACCUGCGGCUGCCGCAGGCCCUGAAAAGCAGUGGCGGGCUCGCUGUCACACCGAGCGUAGUAGCAUACAUCUCGCUCUGGGCGUGCUGCGGGUUCCGGCCGUUAAACCACCUUCAUAACCCAAGGUUGACCUCGGAUCAGGUAGGAAGACCCGCUGAACUUAAGCAUAUCAAUAAGCGGAGGA